GAGGAAUAAGCAUCGGCUAACUCCGUGCCAGCAGCCGCGGUAAUGACGGGGGAUGCAAGCGUUAUCCGGAAUCAUUGGGCGUAAAGCGCCUGUAGGUUGUUUAAUAAGUCUGUUGUUAAAGACUAGGGCUCAACCCUAGAAAAGCAAUGGAAACUGUUAGACUAGAGUAUGGCAGGGGUAGAGGGAAUUUCUAGUGUAGCGGUGAAAUGCGUAGAUAUUAGAAAGAACACCGGUGGCGAAAGCGCUCUACUGGACCAUUACUGACACUCAGAGGCGAAAGCUAGGGUAGCAAAAGGGAUUAGAUACCCCUGUAGUCCUAGCCGUAAACGAUGGAUACUAGAUGUUGUAUGUUAUUUACAGUAUCGUAGCUAACGCGUUAAGUAUCCCGCCUGGGGAGUACGCUCGCAAGGGUGAAACUCAAAGGAAUUGACGGGGGCCCGCACAAGCGGUGGAGCAUGUGGUUUAAUUCGAUGCAACGCGAAGAACCUUACCAAGGCUUGACAUACUACAGAUUUCUUUGAAAGAGGAAAGUGCCUUCGGGAAUGUAGAUACAGGUGGUGCAUGGCUGUCGUCAGCUCGUGUCGUGAGAUGUUGGGUUAAGUCCCGCAACGAGCGCAACCCUUAUUUUUAGUUACCAAUUCGUUGGGUUCUCUAGAAAGACUGCCGGUGACAAACCGGAGGAAGGUGAGGAUGACGUCAAGUCAGCAUGCCCCUUAUGUCCUGGGCUACACACGUGCUGACAAUGGCUAAGACAAAGAGUUGCGAGCUCGCGAGANGAA
Molecule: ribosomal RNA, 779 nt
Filed under: uncultured eukaryote
Lineage: Eukaryota
Description: bacterial SSU rRNA
Rfam family: Bacterial small subunit ribosomal RNA
Source: RNAcentral